GACGAACGCUGGCGGCGUGCUUAACACAUGCAAGUCGAACGGAAAGGCCCUGCUUUUGUGGGGUGCUCGAGUGGCGAACGGGUGAGUAACACGUGAGUAACCUGCCCUUGACUUUGGGAUAACUUCAGGAAACUGGGGCUAAUACCGGAUAGGAGCUCCUGCUGCAUGGUGGGGGUUGGAAAGUUUCGGCGGUUGGGGAUGGACUCGCGGCUUAUCAGCUUGUUGGUGGGGUAGUGGCUUACCAAGGCUUUGACGGGUAGCCGGCCUGAGAGGGUGACCGGCCACAUUGGGACUGAGAUACGGCCCAGACUCCUACGGGAGGCAGCAGUGGGAAAUGUUGAACAAUGGGCGGAAGCCUGAUGCAGCAACGCCGCGUGCGGGAUGACGGCCUUCGGGUUGUAAACCGCUUUCGCCUGUGACGAAGCGUGAGUGACGGUAAUGGGUAAAGAAGCACCGGCUAACUACGUG
This 468-nucleotide ribosomal RNA is filed under the name uncultured bacterium. Its description in RNAcentral is "partial 16S ribosomal RNA". It matches the Rfam family "Bacterial small subunit ribosomal RNA", at positions 28 to 507 of the family's 1533-position model. The record is from RNAcentral.